This is an RNA transcript of Papaver somniferum (opium poppy), 2600 nucleotides long. It is a transcript of the gene named mitochondrial fission 1 protein A-like, with no coding region annotated. The record is from RefSeq and is a predicted model, not a curated record. Lineage: Eukaryota; Viridiplantae; Streptophyta; Magnoliopsida; Ranunculales; Papaveraceae. The transcript has 10 exons.
GGCAACGUGUCAAACAACUUGGGAGGGGAGUAUGAGGACCGUUCCUAUCAUAGCCGAGCCUGAGAAAAGAGUGGAAUAAACCGGAUUCCUUCUCGACACUCUUGUCUCCUCGAUCGCUCUGCUUGUGACAAAAGCUUUAAUGGACCUGAAAGCAGUGGUCGGAAGGUUUGCCGGCAUGGUGCUGGCGGUUUUGAGCAGGGAAGAUAAGUUCCCAUUAUACGAUGUUAUGAUUUAUGAUUAUAAAGAAGAUCUUAAGAACUACCCAGAGGAGACUCCAAGGGAUGUUAUUAAUGAUUGCAUCCUGAAGCUGUGACGGGCUCUUGUGCACUCAACAGAUAAAGAAAAUAUCAAGGAAGGAAUACAAAAGCUUGAAGGCGGUCUUAGAGGUGUGUUGGGGUGAACUUAGCCCACUUCAAAAGAGGGAGAUGCUUUAUCUUCUCUCAGUUGGAUAUUACAGAGAUGGUGACUAUGCAAAUAGCUUAUCUUACUUGGACCAGUGUUUGGAGAUUGCACCGCACUUCAACCAAGCAUUGACCCUAAAGAAAAAAUUUGGAUCAGUUCUCUGGUUUCUGAUUGGGGGAGAGCACCAAUAGAUUGUGAGAGAGAUAUCGCAGAGGCUGGAGAUGAUGCUCCAGAUGAGGUUAAGAAUGAAAACAUCAUCAAGUUAUCCAAGCCCCUCUUGAGAAAGGUGGACUGAACAAACUUCAGUUCAGGGAUAUGCUUUAUAUUCGCUCACUUGGGCAUUACAUAAGUCGUGACUUUAUUAAGAGCUUCAACGGCGUGUGUCAAUGUUUGGAGGUUGCACCAGAUUUCUGGCAAGGUAGGUGCCUGAGCCAUACAAUAUCAACUCGAAUAGAUAGAGAUGAAUUUCUCGGCACAUUCAUUUUAUACGCUGCUACUUAUGGUGCGGCUACAUUUGUGCCAGCUAUUAUCAAGGCAAGAUCGCAUCUUAAGACAUGAUAUGGCUCAUGGAGUGGCAUGUAAGAAUGAUACAGCUCAAAACCACUUUAGAUUUUCUUUUUUGCAUGACAUUUUCUCACUCUCAACACCUAGUUUAACCCUUGAACAUUUGUGGUUAUAUCUCUUCGCUAUCUUUAUCAGAUCAUUUGUCUCAGUUCGUGUUGAUUUCGCUAACUUACAAUGUUGAUUUUGCUAUCCUGAUGGAAAUUCUAAUUCGUGUUGAAUAGAAUUAGGUGCAAUAAGUUUUUUUUUUAGGUGCAAAAGGUUUAUAAAAGCGAAAGUGUAUAGCAACACGCUCACGCAGUAAAGCGCAAAGCGUUGUGGAAUUGCAAAACAUAAAAUAAUAUAUUACUUUCUAGUUUUGCUAGCCAUGUUUGAAAUUUUUGGUGAAGUAGAAAAAGAUUUGGAAAAGUUUUAUUAGUAGAGAAGAGUGAAAAAGGUUUAAGUAGCUGCGGCACGGUUCUCUUUUAAGAACCCAAUCCAUCUUCCGUAGUGCAAGGUGUUUGCAUUCACGUGGCAAGGCAAAUUAGUUUCUGUCCAUCUCCACUGGACUUUCCUUCUCUUCCGGAUAACACAUCUUGGCUACACCUUGACCAGAGUCAUAACCAAUUACCUCACCGAUCUCAAGGACCGUCCAUUACAAUCCAACUGAUUUCUUUGAACUCAAUAGUAUUUGCGAUGUGGUCGAAUAGGCAACGUGUGAUGCCAAGUUCUGAUAAUAGCCGGGGCCUGAGAAAGAAGUGGAAUAAAAAGACCUCUUUCUCGGUACACACAGUUCACUUUUUUCCUCGCCUCAAAUCGCUCUGCUCGUGAGAAAAACUUUCAUGGACCUGGAAGGAGUGGCCGGAAGGUUCGCCGGCACGAUUCUGGCGUUUUUGAUCAGGGAAGAUAAUUUCCCAUUAUAUGAUGUUAUGAUUCAUGAUUAUAAAGAAGAUCUCAAGAACUACCCAGGGGAGACUCCAAGGGAUGUUAUUAAUGAUUGCAUCCUGAAGUUGUGCCGGGCUCUUGUUCACUCAACAGACAAAGAAAAUAUCAAGGAAGGAAUACAAAAGCUUGACGGUGGAUAUAAGAGAAUUUCAGUUAUAUAUAGUUCUGUCAAUGUGAAUAGCUGUACUUUGUAUGCUAAAUCAAGCAAAUUUAAAUAUUUGUCUCGCUCCCUGCUAAUUUUACUGCGCACUACCUUGUUAAAACUGGUCAAUUUCUUUUUGUAGGUGAUCUUUGGGGUGUAUUGGCUGAACUUAGCCUACUUCAAAAGAGGGAGAUGCUUUAUCUUCUCGCAGUUGGAUAUUACAGAGAUGGUGACUAUGCAAGUAGCUUAUCUUACUUGGACCAGUGUUUGGAGGAGCAUUAAUAGCUGUGUUACAAUGACAUUGGCUCGGUGUUGUGUGUCCACUACGGUAUUUUGACACGACAAUUUUAAAAAACGAGGAAGCGGGGACACGGCAUACACAAAAUAGACAUGUCGGCGUCGAUACCUCUGGUUGCAGUAAAACUACUUUUUGAAUUGAUAUUUUUUAUGAAACCUUCGAUCUUCCGAAGGCCAUCUUAGUUUAUCUUGAAUCUUGAGCCUUUUUUCUUUUUGUAUGUGAUUGUAUGGCUUGGCAUGCACAUCUGGUUGUAGUACGUAAGUGUGCAUAAAC